UACGUAUGGUGCGAACGUUGUUCGGAAUCACUGGGCCUAAAGAGCACGUAGGCGGUUGAGCAAGUCCAUUGUGAAAUCCCCCGGCCUAACCGGGGAACUGCAUUGGAUACUACUUGACUUGAGUGCAGGAGGGGAGAGUGGAAUUCCAGGUGGAGCGGUGAAAUGCGUAGAUAUCUGGAGGAACGCCGGCGGCGAAAGCGACUCUCUGGUCUGUAACUGACGCUGAGGUGCGAAAGCUAGGGGAGCAAACGGG
Molecule: ribosomal RNA, 253 nt
Filed under: uncultured bacterium
Lineage: Bacteria
Description: partial 16S ribosomal RNA
Rfam family: Bacterial small subunit ribosomal RNA
Source: RNAcentral